GUGCCAGCAGCCGCGGUAAUACGAAGGGGGCUAGCGUUGUUCGGAAUCACUGGGCGUAAAGCGCACGCAGGCGGAUCGUUAAGUCAGGGGUGAAAUCCCGAGGCUCAACCUCGGAACUGCCUUUGAUACUGGCGAUCUUUGAGUCCGGGAGAGGUGAGUGGAACUCCGAGUGUAGAGGUGAAAUUCGUAGAUAUUCGGAAGAACACCAGUGGCGAAGGCGGCUCACUGGCCCGGUACUGACGCUCAUGUGCGAAAGCGUGGGGAGCAAACAGGAUUAGAUACCCUAGUAGUCC
RNAcentral lists this ribosomal RNA (293 nucleotides) under uncultured bacterium. RNAcentral's name for it is "partial 16S ribosomal RNA". It matches the Rfam family "Bacterial small subunit ribosomal RNA", at positions 505 to 796 of the family's 1533-position model. The record is from RNAcentral.